RNAcentral lists this ribosomal RNA (235 nucleotides) under uncultured Actinomycetales bacterium. RNAcentral describes it as "partial 16S ribosomal RNA". It matches the Rfam family "Bacterial small subunit ribosomal RNA", at positions 97 to 334 of the family's 1533-position model. The record is from RNAcentral. Lineage: Bacteria; Bacillati; Actinomycetota; Actinomycetes; Actinomycetales.
GGCGAACGGGUGAGUAACACGUGGGUAAUCUGCCCUGCACUCUGGGAUAAGCCUGGGAAACUGGGUCUAAUACUGGAUAUGACCUUUCUCCUUAUGGGGUUUGGUGGAAAGUUUUUCGGUGUAGGAUGAGCCCGCGGCCUAUCAGCUUGUUGGUGGGGUGAUGGCCUACCAAGGCGACGACGGGCAGCCGGCCUGAGAGGGUGAUCGGCCACAUUGGGACUGAGAUACGGCCCAG